AUGAAAGUCAUGAACCAACUUGCAUUGGUCGAUGCUCGUGUACUACCUGCCCCAAGGCUUAAAUAUCAUGAAUCUGGACGGGAAAAAGUAUGUAAUCCUUCAGUAGGACAAUGGAACAUGAUAAACAAGAGAAUGGUGAAUGGAGGAUCUAUCAACCAUUGGGCAUGUCUAACUUUCGCGUCUCGACUUCAUCCAAACGACAUCGGCAUGUUUUGCCGUGAUCUGGCUCACAUGUGCAAUAGCAUUGGCAUGGAAAUGAACAUGGAACCAUGCGUGAAUAUCACACAAGCGCGCCGUCAGGACACAGUGGAGUCUGCAAUCAGAAAUAUCCAUAGGCAUUCUGCAGAAGUGCUCACUAAGCAAGGUCUAGAAGGGAAGCAACUUGAAUUAUUGAUCAUCAUAUUACCUGAUAUUAGUGGUUCCUAUGGAAAGAUAAAACGGCUCUGUGAAACCGAGCUUGGAGUAAUAACUCAGUGCUGCUUACCCAAGAAUGUUCAGAAGGGUGGGAAACAAUACCUUGAAAAUCUUUCUCUGAAGAUCAAUGUUAAGGUCGGAGGUCGGAAUACAGUACUUGAAGAUGCUUUGUACAAGAGGAUACCCCUUCUGACAGAUGUGCCUACGAUAGUUUUCGGAGCUGAUGUUACCCACCCAGCUGCUGGAGAAGAUGCAUCUCCAUCUAUUGCAGCAGUUGUUGCAUCUAUGGAUUGGCCAGAAGUAACAAAAUACAAAUGCUUGGUCUCUUCACAAGGCCCUAGGGAAGAAAUAAUUGCCGACCUUUACACGGAAACAAUGGAUCCACAAAGGGGACGUGUUGGUGGUGGCAUGAUAAGGGAGUUGCUUCUCUCUUUCUACAGAGCAACUGGAUGCAAACCUCACAGGAUCAUAUUUUAUAUAGAUGGUGUUAGUGAGGGUCAGUUCAGCCAAGUGUUGCUUUAUGAAAUGGAUGCGAUUCGCAAGGCUUGUGCCACUUUACAGGCGGGUUACCUCCCACCAGUCUCAUUUGUUGUUGUGCAAAAGCGGCAUCACACUCGCCUAUUUCCUGAAAAUCAUCGUGCGCGGGAUCUGACGGAUAGAAGUGGGAAUAUCCUACCUGGUACUGUUGUCGACACAAAGAUCUGCCAUCCUACAGAGUUUGAUUUUUACCUCUGCAGCCAUGCUGGUAUUCGGGGAACAAGCCGCCCGACACACUAUCACGUUCUUCUCGACGAAAACCGUUUCAGUGCUGAUGCCCUGCAAACCUUGACCUACAAUCUCUGCUACACCUACGCCCGGUGCACGCGAUCGGUCUCUAUAGUUCCUCCGGCGUACUACGCGCACCUGGCGGCCUUCCGUGCGCGCUACUACAUGCAGGACGAGUUCUCCGACGGGGGCUCGUCGUCGGCCACGGCCAGGUUGGCGCCUACGAGGCAGCUCCCCAAGAUCAGGGACAGUGUCAAGGAGUUCAUGUUCUACUGCUGA
RNAcentral lists this ribosomal RNA (1458 nucleotides) under Triticum aestivum (bread wheat). Its description in RNAcentral is "partial small subunit ribosomal RNA". Lineage: Eukaryota; Viridiplantae; Streptophyta; Magnoliopsida; Poales; Poaceae. The record is from RNAcentral.